CGCUGUGGCUCAAGUGGGAAGAGGGAUGGCUAUGGUGCAAAAGGUCACGGGUUCGAACACCGGGUAGUGG
Molecule: transfer RNA, 70 nt
Organism: Caenorhabditis elegans
Lineage: Eukaryota; Metazoa; Nematoda; Chromadorea; Rhabditida; Rhabditidae
Source: Ensembl